UACGUAGGGGGCAAGCGUUGUCCGGAAUCAUUGGGCGUAAAGAGCGCGUAGGCGGUCCGGUAAGUCCGCUCUGAAAGUCCGGGGCUCAACCCGGGGAGGCGGGCGGAUACUGCCGGGCUAGAGUCCGGAAGAGGCGAGUGGAAUUCUCGGUGUAGCGGUGAAAUGCGUAGAUAUCGAGAGGAACACCUGCAGCGAAGGCGGGUUGCUGGGCUGAUACUGACGCUGAGGCGCGAAAGCCAGGGGAGCGAACGGG
RNAcentral lists this ribosomal RNA (253 nucleotides) under uncultured bacterium. RNAcentral describes it as "partial 16S ribosomal RNA". It matches the Rfam family "Bacterial small subunit ribosomal RNA", at positions 524 to 776 of the family's 1533-position model. The record is from RNAcentral.